Molecule: ribosomal RNA, 257 nt
Filed under: uncultured Atopobium sp.
Lineage: Bacteria; Bacillati; Actinomycetota; Coriobacteriia; Coriobacteriales; Atopobiaceae
Description: partial 16S ribosomal RNA
Rfam family: Bacterial small subunit ribosomal RNA
Source: RNAcentral
CGAACGGCUGAGUAACACGUGGGCAACCUGCCCUUUGCACUGGGAUAGCCUCGGGAAACCGAGGUUAAUACCGGAUACUCCAUAUCCAUCGCAUGAUAGAUAUGGGAAAGCUCCGGCGGCAAAGGAUGGGCCCGCGGCCUGUUAGCUAGUUGGUGGGGUAGUGGCCUACCAAGGCAAUGAUGGGUAGCCGGGUUGAGAGACCGACCGGCCAGAUUGGGACUGAGACACGGCCCAGACUCCUACGGGAGGCAGCAGCG